RNAcentral lists this ribosomal RNA (403 nucleotides) under bacterium. RNAcentral's name for it is "partial 16S ribosomal RNA". It matches the Rfam family "Bacterial small subunit ribosomal RNA", at positions 355 to 776 of the family's 1533-position model. The record is from RNAcentral.
UGGGGAAUAUUGCACAAUGGGGGAAACCCUGAUGCAGCGACGCCGCGUGAACGAAGAAGGUAUUCGUUUCGUAAAGUUCUGUCCUAUGGGAAGAUAAUGACAGUACCAUAGAAGAAAGCUCCGGCUAAAUACGUGCCAGCAGCCGCGGUAAUACGUAUGGAGCGAGCGUUGUCCGGAAUUAUUGGGCGUAAAGGGUACGCAGGCGGUUUAAUAAGUCGAAUGUUAAAGAUCGGGGCUCAACCCCGUAAAGCAUUGGAAACUGAUAAACUUGAGUAGUGGAGAGGAAAGUGGAAUUCCUAGUGUAGUGGUGAAAUACGUAGAUAUUAGGAGGAAUACCAGUAGCGAAGGCGACUUUCUGGACACAAACUGACGCUGAGGUACGAAAGCGUGGGGAGCAAACAGG